UACGUAGGGGGCAAGCGUUGUCCGGAAUCAUUGGGCGUAAAGAGCGCGUAGGCGGUCCGGUAAGUCCGCUGUGAAAGUCAAGGGCUCAACCCUUGAAUGCCGGUGGAUACUGUCGGGCUAGAGUCCGGAAGAGGCGAGUGGAAUUCCUGGUGUAGCGGUGAAAUGCGCAGAUAUCAGGAGGAACACCAAUGGCGAAGGCAGCUCGCUGGGACGGUACUGACGCUGAGGCGCGAAAGCGUGGGGAGCGAACAGG
This 253-nucleotide ribosomal RNA is filed under the name uncultured bacterium. RNAcentral's name for it is "partial 16S ribosomal RNA". It matches the Rfam family "Bacterial small subunit ribosomal RNA", at positions 524 to 776 of the family's 1533-position model. The record is from RNAcentral.